Girardinichthys multiradiatus is the source of this 580-nucleotide long non-coding RNA. RefSeq lists it as uncharacterized. The record is from RefSeq and is a predicted model, not a curated record. Lineage: Eukaryota; Metazoa; Chordata; Actinopteri; Cyprinodontiformes; Goodeidae. The transcript is spliced from 2 exons.
GUGAGUCUCUUUCCUCUUAGAGGAUCUUUGCUGGAGAGCGUGGCUGACUGGCCUGCUACACACCUGCUCUCAAUCAAGGUCAUUCAGGCUGGGGGAGUUGCGAGGAGCUGCAAAGUGACCAUUCCUUGCCUGAUGGUCCAACAUAGUUGAUAUAGUCAAACACUUUGAAGAGAUUUUUUGAAAACGAUUUUCCCCAUUUAUUCUCUCUCAUGCUCUCUGCUUGGAGUCACCUACUGAAUCUUUCCUAGCCACCCUGCUGAAACAUUUCCGUCUAGAUUCUUCCACGGUCGUCCACUGCAGCUCUUACCUUGGUGUGUCUCUGCCUAACCCGCUCUCUAGCCCUCUGCCCAUCCCCUCAAUGCAAUGAAGAGCUUACACAUUCAGCCAUCUUCAACACCAACUCAGAGACCUGACUCACCUUGCAAACCCAUUCCACGGAUAAAACCACCAAGAUCCUCACUUCACCCUCAAAACCUCACACCAGUUCUACAAUGCAUGCAGCCCUGACCAGUCUCUGAGCCCACCUCCUUCUGUGCAUCAAGAUCCUAGUAUUGUUGAAAAUAAACUGUUCUUAAUUUAA